UAGAGAAUCUUGCACAAUGGGCGAAAGCCUGAUGCAGCCACGCCGCGUGAGGGACGAAGGUCUUCGGAUUGUAAACCUCUUUCAGUCGUGAAGAAGCGCAAGUGACGGUAGCGACAGAAGAAGCCCCGGCUAACUACGUGCCAGCAGCCGCGGUAAUACGUAGGGGGCAAGCGUUGUCCGGAAUUAUUGGGCGUAAAGGGCGCGUAGGCGGUCCAUUAAGUCGGAUGUGAAAUCCAGGGGCUCAACCCCUGAACUGCAUCCGAUACUGGUGGACUUGAGGUAGGUAGAGGAGAGUGGAAUUUGUGGUGUAGCGGUGGAAUGCGCAGAUAUCACAAGGAACACCGAUGGCGAAGGCAGCUCUCUGGGCCUUACCUGACGCUGAGGCGCGAAAGCAUGGGUAGCAAACAGGAUUAGAUACCCCCGUAGUCC
Molecule: ribosomal RNA, 429 nt
Filed under: uncultured prokaryote
Description: bacterial SSU rRNA
Rfam family: Bacterial small subunit ribosomal RNA
Source: RNAcentral